GUCUCAAUUACUCUUGCAUUUAUUUGGUUUAAAUGAUCUCUCAAUCUAAUAUACUUCCCUUUUUUUUCAAUUCUCGAACUACCCCAACCCCAUUAUGAAAUUACACAGUUGCCCUUUCAUAACUAACGUAUUUGACCUCAUAAUAAUAUCCUCACAUGCACAGCCGUGUGGGUUUGCAUCAAUGGCUUUGCUUAAUUAUAAUAUUGACAUUCAACUACUUGCUUUAGCUUAGCUAUGUAUUUUCUUUGGCUAUUGAAUGCGCACAAGCUUAAAAUUUGGUGUUAAUCUUGUCAUUGCUUCCUAAUUUGACUAGGCUUUAUAGAUUUUAUUGCACCCCUUUCUUUGUGUUGCUGUGGCUUGCUCUCAUUGGCUUAUGAGAAAUGACUGUGGCAAUGCAUGCUGAAAAAUUACCUAACAUUCUUAUAAGAAAAUUAGGAACAAGAAGAUAGGUUUCUUCUGCUAAAGAUGGAACAAAUCUCACCCACCAACACUGCUGCCGCUAUAGAUGAUCUACUUUACCUAGGAAUUAAGGGGCAGUGGUGUCGUGGAUGACGUCGAGCAAAACAGUGCUCUUGCAUUUGGGGCAUCUGGGGUCCUCCUCUGAUAGCAUCACGUACAUGAGGCACCUAGGGCACCCCACCAGCAUCAUCGAGGUGGCCUCAGGGCUGGUGGAGUACUGCAGCGUCUCGUUCAGCUCGGAAGACACACAUGAGCUCGGGGGAGACACGGUCAGUGAUCUGGUCGGGGACUCCACCCGCCUUGGUGGCGACAAGUUCAGCUUCAGGUGCAUAUUAUAUAUAAGAGGAGAUAGAUGGGAUCUCUUUAAAGCUUAAUUAAAUUAUGCUGAGGGGGUGGGGGUUAGUGGAUUUGAAAUCAAUUGUAGAAGAUGAGCUAGUGUAAAUUGAGAGCCAGGAAAUGUAUUAAUUGUUGGAAAAGAUCCCAAGAUGGUUGCAGAAAAGGGAAAUUUGUAGUAAAUAUUUUGCAAUUAUGGCCGACAUUCAUUGCCUAUACUAAACUAUUCUUUCUCUA
Molecule: long non-coding RNA, 1029 nt
Organism: Salvia splendens (bonfire salvia)
Lineage: Eukaryota; Viridiplantae; Streptophyta; Magnoliopsida; Lamiales; Lamiaceae
Exons: 3
Source: RefSeq, a predicted model, not a curated record